CGAAAGCCUGACGGAGCAAUACCGCGUGAGGGAUGACUGCCUAUGGGUUGUAAACCUCUUUUUUCAGGGAGGAAUAAAUGACGUGUACCUGAAGAAUAAGCAUCGGCUAACUCCGUGCCAGCAGCCGCGGUAAGACGGAGGAUGCAAGUGUUAUCCGGAAUCACUGGGCGUAAAGCGUCUGUAGGUGGCUUAAUAAGUCAACUGUUAAAUCUUGAGGCCCAACCUCAAAAUCGCAGUCGAAACUAUUAGACUAGAGUAUAGUAGGGGUAAAGGGAAUUUCCAGUGGAGCGGUGAAAUGCGUAGAGAUUGGAAAGAACACCGAUGGCGAAGGCACUUUACUGGGCCAUAACUGACACUGAGGGACGAAAGCUAGGGUAGCG
This 380-nucleotide ribosomal RNA is filed under the name uncultured cyanobacterium. RNAcentral's name for it is "bacterial SSU rRNA". It matches the Rfam family "Bacterial small subunit ribosomal RNA", at positions 376 to 770 of the family's 1533-position model. The record is from RNAcentral. Lineage: Bacteria; Bacillati; Cyanobacteriota.